UACUGGACUAUGCAUAUUGUUAUCAGUGC
Molecule: small RNA, 29 nt
Filed under: Bombyx mori (domestic silkworm)
Lineage: Eukaryota; Metazoa; Arthropoda; Insecta; Lepidoptera; Bombycidae
Description: ovarian small RNA-21515
Source: RNAcentral